UACGAAGGGUGCAAACGUUGCUCGGAAUUAUUGGGCGUAAAGCGCACGUAGGCGGCUUUGCAAGUCCCAUGUGAAAUCCCACGGCUCAACCGUGGAAGUGCAUGGGAAACUGCAGAGCUUGAGUACUUAAGAGGAUCGCGGAAUUCCCGGUGUAGAGGUGAAAUUCGUAGAUAUCGGGAAGAACACCCGUGGCGAAGGCGGCUCUCUGGGACGGUACUGACGCUGAGACGCGAAAGCGUGGGGAGCGAACAGG
Molecule: ribosomal RNA, 253 nt
Filed under: uncultured bacterium
Lineage: Bacteria
Description: partial 16S ribosomal RNA
Rfam family: Bacterial small subunit ribosomal RNA
Source: RNAcentral